This is a long non-coding RNA of Oncorhynchus tshawytscha (Chinook salmon), 428 nucleotides long. The record is from Ensembl. NCBI's taxonomy places the organism in Eukaryota, Metazoa, Chordata, Actinopteri, Salmoniformes, Salmonidae.
CUUGAUUCAGAAGCCCUGUUGGCGGUUGGUGCACUUGAUUCAGAAGCCCUGUUGGCGGUUGGUGCACUUGAUUCAGAAGCCCUGUUGGUGGUAGGUGCACUUGAUUCAGAAGCCCUGUUGGCGGUGGGUGCACUUGAUUCAGAAGCCCUGUUGGUGGUUGGUGCACUUGAUUCAGAAGCCCUGUUGGUGGUAGGUGCACUUGAUUCAGAAGCCCUGUUGGUGGUAGGUGCACUUGAUUCAGAUGCCCUGUUGGCGGUUGGUGCACUUGAUUCAGAAGCCCUGUUGGCGGUGGGUGCACUUGAUUCAGAAGCCCUGUUGGUGGUAGGUGCACUUGAUUUAGAAUCCCUGUUGGCGGUAGGUGCACUUGAUUCAGAAGCCCUGUUGGCGGUUGGUGCACUUGAUUCAGAAGCCCUGUUGGUGGUAGGUGC